RNAcentral lists this ribosomal RNA (253 nucleotides) under uncultured bacterium. RNAcentral describes it as "partial 16S ribosomal RNA". It matches the Rfam family "Bacterial small subunit ribosomal RNA", at positions 524 to 776 of the family's 1533-position model. The record is from RNAcentral.
UACGUAGGUGGCAAGCGUUGUCCGGAUUUAUUGGGUUUAAAGGGUGCGUAGGCGGUUCCAUAAGUCAGUGGUGAAAUACAAUAGCUUAACUAUUGAGGUGCCAUUGAUACUGCGGAACUUGAGUACAGACGAGGUAGGCGGAAUUGACGGUGUAGCGGUGAAAUGCGUAGAUAUCUGGAGGAACACCGGUGGCGAAGGCGGCAUCCUGGACCGGUAUUGACGCUGAGGCGCGAAAGCCAGGGGAGCAAACGGG